Molecule: ribosomal RNA, 239 nt
Filed under: Bicosoecida sp. CB-2014
Lineage: Eukaryota; Bigyra; Bicosoecida
Description: partial Bacterial large subunit ribosomal RNA
Rfam family: Bacterial large subunit ribosomal RNA
Source: RNAcentral
CGGGAGGGGAGUGAAACAGUACCUGAAACCGUGCGCCCACGAGCAGUCGGAGCAACUUUCAGUUGUGACGGCGUGCCUUUUGUAGAAUGAGCCAGCGAGUCGCUGGCGCGGGGCGAGGUUAACCGAAAGGGAGCCGGAGCGAAAGCGAGCCUUAACAGGGCGACUUGAGUCCCGCGCCGCGGACGCGAAGCCGGGUGAGCUAUCCGUGGGCAGGCUGAAGCGGGGGUAAGACCCCGUGG